RNAcentral lists this ribosomal RNA (302 nucleotides) under uncultured bacterium. RNAcentral describes it as "bacterial SSU rRNA". It matches the Rfam family "Bacterial small subunit ribosomal RNA", at positions 28 to 333 of the family's 1533-position model. The record is from RNAcentral.
GAUGAACGCUAGCGGCAGGCUUAACACAUGCAAGUCGAGGGGUAUUGGUUUUCGGACCAAGAGACCGGCGCACGGGUGCGUAACGCGUAUGCAAUCUACCUUUUGCAGAGGGAUAGCCCAGAGAAAUUUGGAUUAAUACCUCAUAGUAUAGUACUUUGGCAUCAAGGAACUAUUAAAGUCACAACGGCAAAAGAUGAGCAUGCGUCCAUUAGCUAGUUGGUAAGGUAACGGCUUACCAAGGCUACGAUGGGUAGGGGUCCUGAGAGGGAGAUCCCCCCANACUGGUACUGAGACACGGACCA